AUUGAACGCUGGCGGCAGGCCUAACACAUGCAAGUCGAGCGAGCGGCGGACGGGUGAGUAAUGUCUGGGAAACUGCCUGAUGGAGGGGGAUAACUACUGGAAACGGUAGCUAAUAACGCAUACCAUCAGAUGUGCCCAGAUGGGAUUAGCUGGUAGGUGGGGUAACGGCUCACCUAGGCGACGAUCCCUAGCUGGUCUGAGAGGAUGACCAGCCACACAGGAACGUGGACACGGUCCAGACUCCUACGGGAGGCAGCAGGGGGGAAUAUUGCACAAUGGGCGCAAGCCUGAUGCAGCCAUGCCGCGUGUGUGAAGAAGGGCUUCGGGUUGUAAAGCACUUUCAGCGGGGAGGCGUUACCCGCAGAAGAAGCACCGGCUAACUCCGUGCCAGCAGCCGCGGUAAUUC
This 406-nucleotide ribosomal RNA is filed under the name uncultured bacterium. RNAcentral describes it as "partial 16S ribosomal RNA". It matches the Rfam family "Bacterial small subunit ribosomal RNA", at positions 29 to 526 of the family's 1533-position model. The record is from RNAcentral.